Danio rerio (zebrafish) is the source of this 1260-nucleotide non-coding RNA. The record is from RefSeq and is a predicted model, not a curated record. Lineage: Eukaryota; Metazoa; Chordata; Actinopteri; Cypriniformes; Danionidae.
UAUACACUGUAAAAAAAAUCUGUAAAAUAACAGUUAAAUGACUGUAUAUUUUAACAGAUUUUUUCCGUAUACACGUAUUACGGGUGUUUUUCCGUUUAUAUACAUUUUCGAAUUGCAUUGUGGGAAGGGGAUCGCAGCUCAGACAGCGUUUGAUGGACACCGGGACAUAUUUCUUCCUCUGUUUUUUCCCUGGUAAGUACGAUUAAUAAAACAUAUAACAAUAUUUUAGUUAAAAGACUGCUUUAUUACCUUUUUAUCGUUAUUUAAAAUGAUUUUUGUCUUUUAUGAAGCGCCCAUGGAAAGUACAGCAUUGUUUGUCCGUAUUUUUCUAAACUGCCGUGCGCGGGAAGUGGCGUGACGUCCAAUCACCCACUCACUCCCUCUGCACCUGACUGGAUUAACGGUAAACGUCAGUUUGUCUGUAAGAGUGUAAAAGGUUCUUUCAUUUUGGUUAUAAGUACAUGUUACAGGUAAAUUCUUAGAUUCAAUCCAAACUGAAUUUGAAUUAAUACGGACAAAUGAAAUAAAAUACACCUGGGAUUUUAAAUGUUUUCAUUUUUUUAUUAUUCACAACGUUUGUGAAGUCUAAAUGUAGACUGUCUCAAACUGAAUAAGUGUUAUUUUUGUUGUAGGUGUGUUGGUGUAAAAAUUGAUGCUGACUGAACUCAGGCAGUUGUGCUGGACCAUCUGUACCUAAUACAGGGGAUGACAGUAAACUUCCAAGUUUAAGAGCCACCUGAUGAUGAGAGAGACAAUUUCAAUGUGGGCAUCUUGAUGAAGAAGAGUCCACAGUCACAAUAACAAGAUCAUUGAGCUGUCCCCUAAUUGUGGUGAGCUACAUGUUUAGUCUCUUAUGUGCUAAACAUUAUGUAGCCUAAGGAAGCAGCCCUGACUCUGGAGUUUAUAUGAAGGAGCAUGCUGAGUAACUAUCCAGAAUGUAGGUCCAUAGCAGAAAAAAGUGCACCAAGCAGAAACAUACCAUCUAAACUCCUUCGAUUCCUGUCAGACCAGAAAGACUUUCAGAAUCCUUGGAAGAUUUAAAGCCAUUGAAGUAUCAGUAUUGGAGCGGAAGAAGACCCAGUUGUAUCGUCUGUUUCCUGCCAUCUUGCAGUUAACCUGGUUUCUUAAUGUAAAGUACUUGUAAUUUGCCCACUUGUCCUCAAUUAUCUUAAAGCUAACAUUUAAAACUAAUUUGCUUUGAGAUUAUUUGCCAAGACUUCUCACUGUGUGAUUCACAUGUCAAUAUGUAUUAUUGUGUGU